AGGUUGCUGUUCCGGCGGUGGAGCUGCUGCCGGCGUCCACGUCACUGACCUGCUGCUUCUUCCUGGUUCAGAUCAUUUUGGAGAAGUAGCUGAAAGGCGGGAAGUGGGUGUACCGGGAUGCGCUAUCGGUGGGGAACCAGGAGGAGGAGGCGCGGGAGCGGAUGUCAUAGGCAACAUCCAUGAGUGCCGUGGGGAGGCGCUCCGGUUGCUGCGGAUUGACUACGAGGCCUCCGUCAAGACUCAAGAGCCUGGAUAACAAGGAGCACUAAACGAGAGCGAUGGCCUUCUUCUUCGACUCCAUGUGGUUGGGUAUAGGUAAAGUGAGAAAGAAAGGAGAUGAAGAAGACAGAGGAAAGGACCAGAUAGCUAGCUAGGUCAUUUUGCUCUGAUAAUGCUGAAGCAUACGCCGGUUUCUUGGAUGGAAGUUGGAAGACCUGGGGGGGGAAUAGGCAAUGCAUGUCAUGAUAUAUACGCCUUGGUGUUUGAAGAAUCUGUAUGCAGCUGGAGGUUUGUUUCUAGCGUCAUGAGCAGCGGAGCUUAAAAAAUCUGGUAACGCCUCAUGAAUGUGUUGUGUAUGUAACUGUUGUCCCAGCUUCGGUUGAUGUUUACAGUUUGGUAAA
This is a long non-coding RNA of Lolium rigidum, 620 nucleotides long. RefSeq lists it as uncharacterized. The record is from RefSeq and is a predicted model, not a curated record. The transcript has 5 exons. NCBI's taxonomy places the organism in Eukaryota, Viridiplantae, Streptophyta, Magnoliopsida, Poales, Poaceae.